This 445-nucleotide ribosomal RNA is filed under the name uncultured bacterium. Its description in RNAcentral is "partial 16S ribosomal RNA". It matches the Rfam family "Bacterial small subunit ribosomal RNA", at positions 354 to 796 of the family's 1533-position model. The record is from RNAcentral.
GUGAGGAAUAUUGGACAAUGGGCGCAAGCCUGAUCCAGCCAUGCCGCGUGCAGGAAGACGCAUCUAUGGUGUGUAAACUGCUUUUGUACGGGAAGAAACACUCCCUCGUGAGGGAGCUUGGCGGUACCGUAAGAAUAAGGAUCGGCUAACUCCGUGCCAGCAGCCGCGGUAAUACGGAGGAUCCAAGCGUUAUCCGGAAUCAUUGGGUUUAAAGGGUCAGUAGGCGGGUUAAUAAGUCAGUGGUGAAAGCCCAUCGCUCAACGAUGGAACGGCCAUUGAUACUGUUAGACUUGAAUUACAAGGAAGUAACUAGAAUAUGUAGUGUAGCGGUGAAAUGCUUAGAUAUUACAUGGAAUACCAAUUGCGAAGGCAGGUUACUACUUGUGGAUUGACGCUGAUGGACGAAAGCGUGGGGAGCGAACAGGAUUAGAUACCCGAGUAGUCC